ACUCCUACGGGAGGCAGCAGUGGGAAUAUUGGACAAUGGGGAACCGUAGCAUCCAGCCAUGCCGCGUGUGUGAAGAAGGCCUUCGGGUUGUAAAGCACUUUCAGUGGGGAGGAAAGGUUGUUGGUUAAUACCUAACAGCUGUGACGUUACCCACAGAAGAAGCACCGGCUAACUCCGUGCCAGCAGCCGCGGUAAUACGGAGGGUGCAAGCGUUAAUCGGAAUUACUGGGCGUAAAGCGUGCGCAGGCGGUCUGUUAAGCGAGAUGUGAAAGCCCGGCUGCA
This 282-nucleotide ribosomal RNA is filed under the name uncultured bacterium. Its description in RNAcentral is "partial 16S ribosomal RNA". It matches the Rfam family "Bacterial small subunit ribosomal RNA", at positions 335 to 612 of the family's 1533-position model. The record is from RNAcentral.